AACUUUCAACAAUGGAUCACUUGGCUCUGGCAUCGAUGAAGAACGCAGCGAAAUGCGAUAAGUAAUGUGAAUUGCAGAAUUCAGUGAAACAUCGAAUCUUUGAACGCACCUUGCGCCCCUUGGUUAUUCCUUAGGGCAUGCCUGUUUGAGUAUCAUGAACACCUCAACUCUCACGGUCUUCCGUGACGAGCUUGGACUUUGGGGGUUUGCUGGCCCUGCGGCCGGCUCCUCUCAAACAAAUCAGCUUGCCAGUGUUUGGUGGCAUCACGGGUGUGAUAAAUAUCUAUGCUCGCGGUUGUCUGCCAGGUAACCUUUGGUGACAAAGGUUUGCUGGAGCUCACAGAUGUCUCUCCUCAGCGAGGACAGCUUUUUGAACGUUCGAUCUCAAAUCAGGUAGGACUACCCGCUGAACUUAAGCAUAUCAAUAAGCGGAGGCU
RNAcentral lists this unclassified non-coding RNA (437 nucleotides) under uncultured Tomentella. RNAcentral's name for it is "sequence contains ITS2". The stretch from base 1 to 155 matches the Rfam family "5.8S ribosomal RNA". The record is from RNAcentral. Lineage: Eukaryota; Fungi; Basidiomycota; Agaricomycetes; Thelephorales; Thelephoraceae.